AUCAUAGAACUCGGAGAAGCAGAAGCAAGUAAAGCUUAAUGAUCAUAUAAACAGAGGUACUCAACCCGAUCAUACUCAACAUCCUGUAUUUACAACAAAAAGGUGCCACCACUUUACUCUCCUGGAAUUACAUUUGCAGGAGACUGCAGUCCAGUAACCAAGCCAGAAACCUGAGCAUGAAACACAUUAACCAAGAUAUAUACUGAGUACUCAGGAUUAAAAAAGGAGUUUGAGACUGCUGCCCCAAUAAACUGGCAAUCUAUUGAAGGAGUAAGAGGAGGCUUAGCAGCUUGCUUUAGAAUUAAAUCUUCAAAAAAUUUUGUCCGUUCUUCUUUACCAGGUAGGCUGAAAAGGAAUUCUCUGUCAAAGCGACCAGGCCUUCGCAAAGCAGGAUCAAUAGAAUCCAGUCUGUUGGUG
Hyaena hyaena (striped hyena) is the source of this 417-nucleotide long non-coding RNA. RefSeq lists it as uncharacterized. Lineage: Eukaryota; Metazoa; Chordata; Mammalia; Carnivora; Hyaenidae. The transcript has 5 exons. The record is from RefSeq and is a predicted model, not a curated record.